Punica granatum (pomegranate) is the source of this 815-nucleotide non-coding RNA. The record is from RefSeq and is a predicted model, not a curated record. Lineage: Eukaryota; Viridiplantae; Streptophyta; Magnoliopsida; Myrtales; Lythraceae.
GGGGGGGGGGGGGGAACCGUCCAAACUUCGCCCACACGCACUACAUUUCUUUGGCUGGAAUCUCGUACUGUAACUCCGAUUCCAUUUCUUGCUCCAGUUUCCGUCUGUCUGUCUGUCUCUUCCCUCUAUUGACAGAGUUAAGUAACCCCUUCUCCUCUCUUUCACUCAAACCUUUCUUCGUCUUCUGGUCUUCUCUAUAAAAAGGAAUCAGAGCCAGUCGAUGUUAUCAGAUCGUGCUCGUCCACUUUCUCUAGAAGUGUCUCUGAGAAUUUGAGAUCAGGGCGAGUUGUUGAUGCUUUUUAGUUCUGAGAAUCAGGUGAGAGGCUAGCGGCGGCGAGUAGCUAUUCGUAGUCUCCAUACAUAAAAGCCGAAUAUCGUUUCUUCUCGUGCUGUCCGGGAAUCUCAGCAGGACUAGGACAACAUGGGACACGUUAUAGUGAUUUCGGUACCAACUAUCCUGUUCAUCCUGAUCGUUGCCCUGGCGAGUUACCUUAUCUAUAGGGAAUACAAGCGAAGGCGAGCAGCUCGGGCUUCACAGUACCUAGGGCCUCCUGCCCCGCCGACUUACGCUCAUGCAUAGCCCCGCAGGCGCGAAAUCUACUUGUAUGCUGCGACUUCUCUUUGUUGCAUUCUCUGUUCUAUCAUACCGAUUUAUAUCUCGUCCUUGUGUGUUUUGAGAAACGUACCUGUACGCAUUAUUUACUGUGGGUUCAUAGGAUUUUGCUGUUAUCCGAAUACUGUAGUCAUGAUCUUUCAUUUCGAUCUGUAUUGCUAAUCUUGACCACUUGAUUGAAUGAUUUGGUAACUUACACAGA